CGCUGGCGGCAGGCCUAACACAUGCAAGUCGAGCGGAUGACGGGAGCUUGCUCCUUGAUUCAGCGGCGGACGGGUGAGUAAUGCCUAGGAAUCUGCCUGGUAGUGGGGGACAACGUUUCGAAAGGAACGCUAAUACCGCAUACGUCCUACGGGAGAAAGCAGGGGACCUUCGGGCCUUGCGCUAUCAGAUGAGCCUAGGUCGGAUUAGCUAGUUGGUGAGGUAAUGGCUCACCAAGGCGACGAUCCGUAACUGGUCUGAGAGGAUGAUCAGUCACACUGGAACUGAGACACGGUCCAGACUCCUACGGGAGGCAGCAGUGGGGAAUAUUGGACAAUGGGCGAAAGCCUGAUCCAGCCAUGCCGCGUGUGUGAAGAAGGUCUUCGGAUUGUAAAGCACUUUAAGUUGGGAGGAAGGGCAUUAACCUAAUACGUUAGUGUUUUGACGUUACCGACAGAAUAAGCACCGGCUAACUCUGUGCCAGCAGCCGCGGUAAUACAGAGGGUGCAAGCGUUAAUCGGAAUUACUGGGCGUAAAGCGCGCGUAGGUGGUUUGUUAAGUUGGAUGUGAAAGCCCCGGGCUCAACCUGGGAACUGCAUCCAAAACUGGCAAGCUAGAGUACGGUAGAGGGUGGUGGAAUUUCCUGUGUAGCGGUGAAAUGCGUAGAUAUAGGAAGGAACACCAGUGGCGAAGGCGACCACCUGGACUGAUACUGACACUGAGGUGCGAAAGCGUGGGGAGCAAACAGGAUUAGAUACCCUGGUAGUCCACGCCGUAAACGAUGUCAACUAGCCGUUGGAAUCCUUGAGAUUUUAGUGGCG
Molecule: ribosomal RNA, 819 nt
Filed under: Pseudomonas sp.
Lineage: Bacteria; Pseudomonadati; Pseudomonadota; Gammaproteobacteria; Pseudomonadales; Pseudomonadaceae
Description: bacterial SSU rRNA
Rfam family: Bacterial small subunit ribosomal RNA
Source: RNAcentral